GACGAACGCUGGCGGCGUGCUUAACACAUGCAAGUCGAACGGAAAGGCCCUGCUUUUGUGGGGUGCUCGAGUGGCGAACGGGUGAGUAACACGUGAGUAACCUGUCCUUGACUUUGGGAUAACUUCAGGAAACUGGGGCUAAUACCGGAUAGGAGCUCCUGCUGCAUGGUGGGCGUUGGAAAGUUUCGGCGGUUGGGGAUGGACUCGCGGCUUAUCAGCUUGAUGGUUGGGUAGUGGAUUACCAAGGCUUUGACGGGUAGCCGGCCUGAGAGGGGGACCGGCCACAUUGGGACUGAGAUACGGCCCAGACUCGUACGGGAGGCAGCGGUGGGGAAUAUUGCACAAGGGGCGGAAGCCUGGUGCAGCCACGCCGCGUGCGGGAUGACGGCCUUCGGGUUGUAAACCGCUUUCGCCUGUGACGAGGCGUGAGUGACGGUAAUGGGUAAAGAAGCACCGGCUAACUACGUG
This 468-nucleotide ribosomal RNA is filed under the name uncultured bacterium. RNAcentral's name for it is "partial 16S ribosomal RNA". It matches the Rfam family "Bacterial small subunit ribosomal RNA", at positions 28 to 507 of the family's 1533-position model. The record is from RNAcentral.